Long non-coding RNA from Thalassophryne amazonica, 616 nucleotides. RefSeq lists it as uncharacterized. Lineage: Eukaryota; Metazoa; Chordata; Actinopteri; Batrachoidiformes; Batrachoididae. The record is from RefSeq and is a predicted model, not a curated record. The transcript has 3 exons.
UGUGUAUGCACGUGCUUCACGCACACGUCAGUUUGGCCAGUGGGGCCUGACAGCCAGGGCCCCGCAUGCUUUCCUAUUGGUUGAUUUGGUGUGAGGGCGGGUACUGGGCAUUGCUAACUUGUCAAUUAACUAUAGAUUAUUUAGUGGCUGUGCGAUUUGGUACUCUACCGAUUGAACAUAAAUUAGAGAUUAAACGUCUGGGACCCCAUAGACCAGAAGAUUUCACCCUUUGUCAAGAAGGAAAGGAUAAAAAUAGAUCAUUCAACCAUGAAUGGUUCAAACAUAAAAAAUGGCUAACGGCUAGCCAAUCAAAAAAAGCACUCUUCUGUUUUCCAUGCCUUCUUUCUGGAGGGGAAACUGUCUGGACAAUGACUGGAUUUAAGGACUUGAAACAUCUAUCAGAAAGGCUCGUAAAACAUGAGAGCUGCGCAUCACAUGUGGAUAAUGCCAUCAAGCUCGGCUUAUUAGACGUGACAUUGAAGAGCACAAUUGCCAGACUGAAGAAAACAGGUAUGUUCUUGGCAGAAUUAUAACCUGUUUAAAACUGUGCGGGAAGUGUGAACUUGCCCUGCAUGGACAUGAGUCUGCCAACUCCUUAAACCCCGGCAUUUUCAGG